AGUGAACGCUGGCGGUAGGCCUAAUACAUGCAAGUCGAACGGCAGCACAGUAAGAGCUUGCUCUUACGGGUGGCGAGUGGCGGACGGGUGAGGAAUACAUCGGAAUCUACUUUUUCGUGGGGGAUAACGUAGGGAAACUUACGCUAAUACCGCAUACGACCUACGGGUGAAAGCAGGGGAUAUUCGGACCUUGCGCGACUGAAUGAGCCGAUGUCGGAUUAGCUAGUUGGCGGGGUAAAGGCCCACCAAGGCGACGAUCCGUAGCUGGUCUGAGAGGAUGAUCAGCCACACUGGAACUGAGACACGGUCCAGACUCCUACGGGAGGCAGCAGUGGGGAAUAUUGCACAAUGGGCGCAAGCCUGAUCCAGCCAUGCCGCGUGAGUGAAGAAGGCCUUCGGGUUGUAAAGCCCUUUUGUUGGGAAAGAAAAGCAGCAGAUUAAUACCCCGCUGUUCUGACGGUACCCAAAGAAUAAGCACCGGCUAACUUCGUG
Molecule: ribosomal RNA, 492 nt
Filed under: uncultured bacterium
Lineage: Bacteria
Description: partial 16S ribosomal RNA
Rfam family: Bacterial small subunit ribosomal RNA
Source: RNAcentral